CUUUCUAAUCUAUUUUUAUUCUUGGUUUCAGGCGCCUGAUCACAGAUUCAAAAGUUAAAUUAAAGUAUCAGCAUUUAAUAACAAAUAGUUUUGUAGAGCGAUCUAGGGCAGCCCUGCAGAGGUACCUGUUCUACUGUAAUCGCUAUAUGAACCACAUGCAGAGCCUGCGCUUUGAGCACAAACUAUAUGCUCAGGUGAAACAGAAAAUGGAGGAGAUGCAACAGCACAACAUGUCCUGGAUUGAGGUGCAGUUCCUGAAGAAAGCAGUUGAUGUCCUCUGCCAGUGUCGUGCCACACUCAUGUACACUUAUGUCUUCGCUUUCUACCUCAAAAAGAAUAACCAGUCCAUUAUCUUUGAGAAUAACCAAGCAGAUCUAGAGAAUGCCACAGAGGUGCUCUCGGG
Molecule: small RNA, 403 nt
Filed under: Pongo abelii (Sumatran orangutan)
Lineage: Eukaryota; Metazoa; Chordata; Mammalia; Primates; Hominidae
Description: retained intron
Source: RNAcentral